GAUGAACGCUGGCGGCGUGCCUAAUACAUGCAAGUCGAGCGGACAGACGAGGAGCUUGCUCCUCUGACGUUAGCGGCGGACGGGUGAGUAACACGUGGAUAACCUACCUAUAAGACUGGGAUAACUUCGGGAAACCGGAGCUAAUACCGGAUAAUAUAUUGAACCGCAUGGUUCAAUAGUGAAAGACGGUUUUGCUGUCACUUAUAGAUGGAUCCGCGCCGCAUUAGCUAGUUGGUAAGGUAACGGCUUACCAAGGCAACGAUGCGUAGCCGACCUGAGAGGGUGAUCGGCCACACUGGAACUGAGACACGGUCCAGACUCCUACGGGAGGCAGCAGUAGGGAAUCUUCCGCAAAGGGCGAAAGCCUGACGGAGCAACGCCGCGUGAGUGAUGAAGGUCUUCGGAUCGUAAAACUCUGUUAUUAGGGAAGAACGAAUGUGUAAGUAACUAUGCACGUCUUGACGGUACCUAAUCAGAAAGCCACGGCUAACUACGUG
Molecule: ribosomal RNA, 497 nt
Filed under: uncultured bacterium
Lineage: Bacteria
Description: partial 16S ribosomal RNA
Rfam family: Bacterial small subunit ribosomal RNA
Source: RNAcentral